Transfer RNA from Camelus ferus (Wild Bactrian camel), 73 nucleotides. It matches the Rfam family "tRNA". From Rfam's summary of the family: Transfer RNA (tRNA) molecules are approximately 80 nucleotides in length. Their secondary structure includes four short double-helical elements and three loops (D, anti-codon, and T loops). The record is from Rfam. Lineage: Eukaryota; Metazoa; Chordata; Mammalia; Artiodactyla; Camelidae.
UGGGGUAUAACUCAAGUGGUAGAGUGCAUGCUUAGCAUGCACAAGGUCCUGGGUUCAAUCCCCAGUACCUCCU